CUGCAAUGUGUUCCCAUGGCGGCUGAGAACUCUCCCGACCCUCCCGUGAACUAUACGUUCAUGCACAUCUCACGGUGGCUCCAUAGGUGGAAGAAGCUGCUGUCAAUCAAUUAAAACGCAGUAACGGGCGUUCCGGGAUUCACCUCACUGCCACAAACUCUCAUUAUCCCGUCCCCAGAAGCUACAGCAGCCCUCCCCAUGGAGGCGGGAGCGCACAGGUGACGGAUUUGAGGUGCUACACCGCCACCUGUUGUCCCGCGCAGGCGCUGCAGUCCCCCUGCUGAGCGCCACACGGGCGCGUCCGCCGCCGCUUUCCCUCAACCCGAAGCAGAGCUGUUUUUCUCUCUCCUCUCGGAUGACAGCCGUCCUCUGCGCGCUUCAGCAGCACAUUUAAGGAGGGAUCAGAACUGCUUUUUUUCCGUGGCUGUGUUUCGCCUUGGUCGGCAUUAGUGGGGAAGAAGAGCUGCGGUGAAAGGAGAGAGACAGAGAGAGACUCCCGUCUCCAGCUGCUGGAUACCAGGAUCCUUUUAACACUGUCGUGAUGGAGGCUGAUAUGUGGACAGUGGAGUAAAGGAGCCAGAGGAGUCCUGGUUUGAUGUUUGGAUGUGUGAUGCACGGAGAGCGGGAUAAGUCCCAUUUACAAGCUCCAGAGCCGACGGCGGAUUGGAAUACGCAUUUGAGUGGAACCGUCCGUUAAACUAUAGAGUGCGGAUGGAAAUUUAAAGGUGUGGAGGGAAGACUGUGUGCUGGAGCCAGGGAUUGCAUCUUGAUGUAAAACUACUGAACCCUGCGGGCUGAGAGUCAUCUCCAGUGUUCCCCUUCGCGUCAGUCAUCAAGGGACACAUUUUGACUGUACAAACCACCACCUUGCCAUGGACCGCCCGUGUCCUGGUGAAGGCGUGAGCCGGACACGGGCUCUCGUUGGGAAACUGUAGCCGUGAGGAUUCUCUCCAACUUACUUCCCGUGAUUUUACUCUGGAGGUAUUCUGUAUUGGGACCAGGGAUGGAUGUACCGGAGGCCAGCAAGCAUGGCAAGAAGUCGACAAGUCAAAAGCUGGAGGACCAGAAAAAGAAACAAUGCUGGGUCCAGGAGCGACGGCUCAACUAACUCUAACCCAAACGGCAACGCACAAAGAGUCACAUCCAAAACAAAAUGCGUGCACAGACACAGACUCUCUCUGCCCCUAAAUUCCCUGCCGUGUGAAGCUCACUCUGAGGAUUUUUGGUACUUGUUUGUCCCAUCGAGUCACCAGAGCAAGUCAUUUUCUGCCGUGGACGCCUGCUUUACCUGAAAGGACAACAGCAAUGCUCAAAAUAUGGUCGACAGAGGACCACACAUGCUUGUGUAUGAGGCCAUAUUGGUGUCUGUUUGUAUGCAUGCGAUGGGAAUCCAUUAUGGCUGACAUACCUGUGGGCCUUUGUGUUAUGAUGUUUC
Gasterosteus aculeatus aculeatus (three-spined stickleback) is the source of this 1435-nucleotide long non-coding RNA. The record is from Ensembl. NCBI's taxonomy places the organism in Eukaryota, Metazoa, Chordata, Actinopteri, Perciformes, Gasterosteidae.